AUACGGAGGGUGCAAGCGUUACUCGGAAUCACUGGGCGUAAAGCGUACGUAGGCGGUUGGUUAAGUUAGAUGUGAAAGCCCCGGGCUUCACCUGGGAACUGCAUUUAAAACUGGCGAACUAGAGUUGAGUAGAGGGGAGUGGAAUUUCAGGUGUAGCGGUGAAAUGCGUAGAGAUCUGAAGGAACACCAGUGGCGAAGGCGACUCCCUGGACUCGAACUGACGCUGAGGUACGAAAGCGUGGGUAGCAAACGGGAUUAGAUACCCCUGUAGUCC
RNAcentral lists this ribosomal RNA (274 nucleotides) under uncultured bacterium. RNAcentral describes it as "partial 16S ribosomal RNA". It matches the Rfam family "Bacterial small subunit ribosomal RNA", at positions 523 to 796 of the family's 1533-position model. The record is from RNAcentral.